CGCGGCCUAUCAGCUUGUUGGUGAGGUAAAGGCUCACCAAGGCAUCGACGGGUAGCUGGUCUGAGAGGACGAUCAGCCACACUGGGACUGAGACACGGCCCAGACUCCUACGGGAGGCAGCAGUAGGGAAUAUUGCACAAUGGGCGAAAGCCUGAUGCAGCAACGCCGCGUGCGGGAAGAAGGCCCUAGGGUUGUAAACCGCUUUCAGCAGGGAAGAAAAUGACGGUACCUGCAGAAGAAGGUGCGGCCAACUACGUGCCAGCAGCCGCGGUGACACGUAGGCACCAAGCGUUGUCCGGAUUUAUUGGGCGUAAAGAGCUCGUAGGCGGUUCAGUUAGUCGGGUGUGAAAACUCUGGGCUCAACCCAGAGACGCCACUCGAUACUGCUGUGACUAGAGUGCGGUAGGGGAGCGGGGAAUUCCUAGUGUAGCGGUGAAAUGCGCAGAUAUUAGGAGGAACACCAGUGGCGAAGGCGCCGCUCUGGGCCGUAACUGACGCUGAGGAGCGAAAGCGUGGGUAGCAAACAGGAUUAGAUACCCUGGUAGUCCACGCCGUAAACGUUGGGCACUAGGUGUGGGUCUCAACCAACGAGAUCCGCGCCGUCGCUAACGCAUUAAGUGCCCCGCCUGGGGAGUACGG
Molecule: ribosomal RNA, 639 nt
Filed under: uncultured Actinomycetes bacterium
Lineage: Bacteria; Bacillati; Actinomycetota; Actinomycetes
Description: bacterial SSU rRNA
Rfam family: Bacterial small subunit ribosomal RNA
Source: RNAcentral